Molecule: unclassified non-coding RNA, 281 nt
Filed under: uncultured Hydnobolites
Lineage: Eukaryota; Fungi; Ascomycota; Pezizomycetes; Pezizales; Pezizaceae
Description: sequence contains 5.8S rRNA gene
Rfam family: 5.8S ribosomal RNA (bases 1-53)
Source: RNAcentral
GAACGCAUCUUGCGCUCCUUGGUAUUCCGAGGAGCAUGCCUGUUUGAGUGUCAUCAAAUUUUGACAUUAUGUUAAUAUUUGGAUCAUGUCAAGGAAGCGAUUUCCAUUUAUAUGGAUAGCUCCUUGGAAAUUCAUAGGUAGUAUAGUUGCUAUCAUUAGAACGUGAUGAAUAUUCCUUCGUUCAAAUGGAGUUUACUUGUAUGGCCCUGAAACCAUAUAUACCAUUUUGGUAUUUUGUCAAUUUGACCUGAGAUUGGGUAGGGAUACCCGCUGAACUUAAG